Anastrepha ludens (Mexican fruit fly) is the source of this 1647-nucleotide long non-coding RNA. RefSeq lists it as uncharacterized. The record is from RefSeq and is a predicted model, not a curated record. The transcript is spliced from 2 exons. Lineage: Eukaryota; Metazoa; Arthropoda; Insecta; Diptera; Tephritidae.
AAAGAGAAAUGACAAUAAUUUUCUAAAAAAAUUGUAUUUUAUUCAAAAUCCACACCGGCCCUUGAAACUUAACCACCCUUUAUUUUUAUAAUGACUCAAUUUUUGAACCAGAUCAUCUAAAAGAAACUAUUUCUAUGAGCGUUUGCUCCUUAUUGUAAAUAGAUGGUAUACGCGAGAAAAAAGUUUGAGAACCUGUGGUAUGGAGAUCACAUAAAAUUAAAAACAAAGUCAAGUCGGCUGCCCUACUGGCGCUACCUUAUUGAUGGAUCUCAAUUCAAGGCAUCAAAACGGAAGAAAAAACAAAUCUGCUGUCCUAGUAACAUCGCCUUGUAUGAAUUCGCCUUGAAGAGAUCCCUAGGAAUGGGAAUAUUUGAGCAAAUAAAUUAAAAAUACUCUCAUUGGAAAGUAUUGCCAUUUGCAACUAAUUUAGGUUAUACCUGGAAUAGUUUACCUUGAAUAACGUUUGCCGGCAGUGGAGCAAAAUUGUUUAAAAACAACAAUAACUCAAUGUGUUGCUAAAUGUGGGAGAACAAAAACAUUAGAACCGUAAAUAUGGAUCGCAAGAGCAACGGCAAAUGCAGUUCAAUGACAUUAACUCACUUUAAGUGCAGAGGAAUCUAGCUGGACUUGACGACAAAACAAAAAGUUCUUUAAACUAGUAAAUUAUUUGAAAUUGGCGACACGAGUUUGCAACCGUGAUUUGGUACAAGUGAUGAAAUUUCUUACUAAAAUUAAACAAGACAAAAAUGUUUUUAUUAAGAAAUUUGAAAUUAUUAAAAUUAUUUAAAUAUAGUCAACAAUAAAAAUUGUGUUUUACUUCGAAGCUAAUGGUGUGGGUAGAGACGAAAAGAAAUUAACGAUGAAAAGCUUUUUUCCACAGUUGAAUAUAUAUAUUUUUUUUAAAUAUAUGUUUUUCAAUUUAUUGUUUUGUUUUAAUGUUUUAAAACUAUACAACAAAAAAUGGGAAAUAAGCUAAAAAUCUAUAUUAAAAAAUUAUUUUCAAUAUUCAUUAUUGAAUUCCCAGAAAUCCUGUCAUCAAAAUUUAUUUUGUACUUAAUAUGCCCACUAUGCUAUAGUUAUAAAAAAUAUAAAAAAAUUGAAUUUCGUUCUAAUAUUAACUGAGUAUUUUGAAAUUAUGAAUUUUUCGUUGUUUUGUAGAUUUUGCUCUAAUUAUAGCAGAGAUUAACGGAAAAUAAAAAACAUUUUUGACAAAAUUGAUACGCUAGUUGGUAAUAAAAAGUGCUUUUAUUGAAAAUACACCGAAAAAAUAAUUUUGAAUAUUAUUACAGAAUAUAAAAAAUAAUAGUACAAAAAAUAUAACACAAACUAUAAAUGCAGCCCAUAGCCAAAAUGAUGCAAUCCCAAAAAUCAUGGUAAUAGAAACUUUUUUUAUAUAUAUUUUUUAUAAAUGGUGUACGAACACCCUUUAUGGUUGUUUGGCCGAGCUCGUCCUCCUAUUUGUGGCGUGCGUCUUGAUGUUGUUCCACAAAUAGAGGGACCUACAGUUUUACGCCGACUCCGAGCGGCAGAUAUUUUUUAUGAAGAGCUUUUUCAUGGCAGAAAUGCUCUCGGAGGUUUGCCAUUGACUGCCGAAAGGCGAUCGGUAUUAGAAAAAAACUUUUUCUUUAUUUUUGUCUUUCACCGAGA